AACAAAUAUGUCCGCGGAAAUUAAUAGAGGGCAAUGUAGAUCUUUUGUUCACAAAAUAUCAAUUUAUAUAUCUAUAUAUCUAAGUAUAACUUUCAUGAUAAAGUACAAAACCGCGUAUAUAAUAGCAUACCAUAGGUACAACUCAACUCAUAACUGAUGACAAUUAAGGAACAUUGCAACAACGUCACAGGACAUAUUCAAAAAGAGAAAGACAGCUGUAAAAAUGUGGAAAUAAAAAUCAAAAUUAUAAUUCAUUUUUUCAAUGUGUUUUUGAUAGGGAUGCGUCUAUUCUGAUUAGUAUCAUCCCAUCAGAUAUAUGGUCACCAUUUAAACCACUCUUCACUGGAGAUCAUAAAGUUUCUUUCACAUUUUGAGUACUUUUCCAUAGCAGUUCCAUCUGUAUUGACCGUCAGAAUUUUUU
Molecule: long non-coding RNA, 421 nt
Filed under: Mytilus galloprovincialis (Mediterranean mussel)
Lineage: Eukaryota; Metazoa; Mollusca; Bivalvia; Mytilida; Mytilidae
Source: RNAcentral